RNAcentral lists this ribosomal RNA (682 nucleotides) under uncultured Lachnospiraceae bacterium. RNAcentral's name for it is "bacterial SSU rRNA". It matches the Rfam family "Bacterial small subunit ribosomal RNA", at positions 62 to 742 of the family's 1533-position model. Lineage: Bacteria; Bacillati; Bacillota; Clostridia; Lachnospirales; Lachnospiraceae. The record is from RNAcentral.
UCGAACGAAACACCUUAUUUGAUUUUCUUCGGAACUGAAGAUUUGGUGAUUGAGUGGCGGACGGGUGAGUAACGCGUGGGUAACCUGCCCUGUACAGGGGGAUAACAGUCAGAAAUGACUGCUAAUACCGCAUAAGACCACAGCACCGCAUGGUGCAGGGGUAAAAACUCCGGUGGUACAGGAUGGACCCGCGUCUGAUUAGCUGGUUGGUGAGGUAACGGCUCACCAAGGCGACGAUCAGUAGCCGGCUUGAGAGAGUGAACGGCCACAUUGGGACUGAGACACGGCCCAAACUCCUACGGGAGGCAGCAGUAGGGAAUAUUGCACAAUGGGGGAAACCCUGAUGCAGCGACGCCGCGUGAGUGAAGAAGUAUCUCGGUAUGUAAAGCUCUAUCAGCAGGGAAGAAAAUGACGGUACCUGACUAAGAAGCCCCGGCUAACUACGUGCCAGCAGCCGCGGUAAUACGUAGGGGGCAAGCGUUAUCCGGAAUUACUGGGUGUAAAGGGUGCGUAGGUGGUAUGGCAAGUCAGAAGUGAAAACCCAGGGCUUAACUCUGGGACUGCUUUUGAAACUGUCAGACUGGAGUGCAGGAGAGGUAAGCGGAAUUCCUAGUGUAGCGGUGAAAUGCGUAGAUAUUAGGAGGAACAUCAGUGGCGAAGGCGGCUUACUGGACUGAAACUG